AUACGGAGGGUGCAAGCGUUAUUCGGAAUCACUGGGCGCAAAGGACGCGUAGGCGGGUUGGCAAGUCAGAUGUGAAAUCCUACAGCUUAACUGUAGAACUGCAUUUGAGACUGCUAACCUAGAGUAUGGGAGGGGGAGAUGGAAUUAGUGGUGUAGGGGUAAAAUCCGUAGAUAUCACUAGGAAUACCGAAAACGAAGGCGAUCUCCUGGAACAUAACUGACGCUAAGGCGUGAAAGCGUGGGGAGCAAACAGGAUUAGAAACCCUAGUAGUCC
Molecule: ribosomal RNA, 274 nt
Filed under: uncultured bacterium
Lineage: Bacteria
Description: partial 16S ribosomal RNA
Rfam family: Bacterial small subunit ribosomal RNA
Source: RNAcentral